Molecule: unclassified non-coding RNA, 284 nt
Filed under: fungal sp.
Lineage: Eukaryota; Fungi
Description: partial internal transcribed spacer region
Source: RNAcentral
AAGUUGUAGUGAUUCAGAGACCUCUGGCUCCGUGCGAACAUUGGAACAGUUACAAUCGAGCGGUAGUUCUAUAGGCAAUAUUUCCCCAAGCAGUCAGUGUCGGAAAGUGUCAUUGAUUGUGCAAGGAUAGCGCUUCUACGAUUCCUGUAGACCGUACACUCGGGCAGGAGCUUUGCCAAAGGGUCCCCAUGCCCCCUAAUACCCCCACAGUUUAAUGUGAAGCUCAAUGUAGUACAUUGGGUAAAAAAACCGAACAACUGUUAACAAUGGAUAUCUUGGUUCUC